UCUAGGGGAGGCAGCAGUGAGGAAUAUUGGUCAAUGGGCGGAAGCCUGAACCAGCCAAGUAGCGUGCAGGAUGACGGCCCUAUGGGUUGUAAACUGCUUUUAUACAGGAAUAAAGUUAGCCACGUGUGGUUAUUUGUAGGUACUGUAUGAAUAAGGACCGGCUAAUUCCGUGCCAGCAGCCGCGGUAAU
RNAcentral lists this ribosomal RNA (189 nucleotides) under uncultured bacterium. RNAcentral's name for it is "partial 16S ribosomal RNA". It matches the Rfam family "Bacterial small subunit ribosomal RNA", at positions 338 to 524 of the family's 1533-position model. The record is from RNAcentral.